ACGUGUGCUCUUCCUAUCUCAUAUACUGUUGGCCUUUUAGGACUCUGGAAAAUAACUAUAUAAAUAAUAAAUAAGGUCAAAAUGUAUA
Molecule: long non-coding RNA, 88 nt
Organism: Sinocyclocheilus rhinocerous
Lineage: Eukaryota; Metazoa; Chordata; Actinopteri; Cypriniformes; Cyprinidae
Exons: 4
Source: RefSeq, a predicted model, not a curated record